UACGGAGGAUCCAAGCGUUAUCCGGAUUUAUUGGGUUUAAAGGGUGCGUAGGCGGAUUGAUAAGUUAGAGGUGAAAUGUCCGAGCUUAACUCGGGAACUGCCUCUAAUACUGUUGAUCUAGAGAGUAGAUGCGGUAGGCGGAAUGUAUGGUGUAGCGGUGAAAUGCUUAGAGAUCAUACAGAACACCGAUUGCGAAGGCAGCUUACCAAUCUAUAUCUGACGUUGAGGCAUGAAAGCGUGGGGAGCAAACAGG
This 253-nucleotide ribosomal RNA is filed under the name uncultured bacterium. RNAcentral describes it as "partial 16S ribosomal RNA". It matches the Rfam family "Bacterial small subunit ribosomal RNA", at positions 524 to 776 of the family's 1533-position model. The record is from RNAcentral.